GAACGAACGCUGGCGGCAUGCCUAACACAUGCAAGUCGAACGAACCCUUCGGGGUUAGUGGCGCACGGGUGCGUAACGCGUGGGAACCUGCCCUUAGGUUCGGAAUAACAGUUAGAAAUGACUGCUAAUACCGGAUAAUGUCUUCGGACCAAAGAUUUAUCGCCUUUGGAUGGGCCCGCGUAGGAUUAGGUAGUUGGUGGGGUAAAAGCCUACCAAGCCGACGAUCCUUAGCUGGUCUGAGAGGAUGAUCAGCCACACUGGGACUGAGACACGGCCCAGACUCCUACGGGAGGCAGCAGUGGGGAAUAUUGGACAAUGGGCGAAAGCCUGAUCCAGCAAUGCCGCGUGAGUGAUGAAGGCCUUAGGGUUGUAAAGCUCUUUUACCAGGGAUGAUAAUGACAGUACCUGGAGAAUAAGCUCCGGCUAACUCCGUGCCAGCAGCCGCGGUAAUACGGAGGGAGCUAGCGUUGUUCGGAAUUACUGGGCGUAAAGCGCACGUAGGCGGCUUUUCAAGUCAGGGGUGAAAUCCCGGGGCUCAACCCCGGAACUGCCCUUGAAACUGGAUGGCUAGAAUACUGGAGAGGUGAGUGGAAUUCCGAGUGUAGAGGUGAAAUUCGUAGAUAUUCGGAAGAACACCAGUGGCGAAGGCGACUCACUGG
Molecule: ribosomal RNA, 659 nt
Filed under: Erythrobacter sp.
Lineage: Bacteria; Pseudomonadati; Pseudomonadota; Alphaproteobacteria; Sphingomonadales; Erythrobacteraceae
Description: bacterial SSU rRNA
Rfam family: Bacterial small subunit ribosomal RNA
Source: RNAcentral